GAUGAACGCUGGCGGCGUGCCUAAUACAUGCAAGUCGAGCGAACAGACGAGGAGCUUGCUCCUCUGACGUUAGCGGCGGACGGGUGAGUAACACGUGGAUAACCUACCUAUAAGACUGGGAUAACUUCGGGAAACCGGAGCUAAUACCGGAUAAUAUAUUGAACCGCAUGGUUCAAUAGUGAAAGACGGUUUUGCUGUCACUUAUAGAUGGAUCCGCGCCGCAUUAGCUAGUUGGUAAGGUAACGGCUUACCAAGGCAACGAUGCGUAGCCGACCUGAGAGGGUGAGCGGCCACACUGGAACUGAGACACGGUCCAGACUCCUACGGGAGGCAGCAGUAGGGAAUCGUCCGCAAUGGGCGAAAGCCUGACGGAGCAACGCCGCGUGAGUGAUGAAGGUCUUCGGAUCGUAAAACUCUGUUAUUAGGGAAGAACAAAUGUGUAAGUAACUAUGCACGUCUUGACGGUACCUAAUCAGAAAGCCACGGCUAACUAC
This 494-nucleotide ribosomal RNA is filed under the name uncultured bacterium. RNAcentral describes it as "partial 16S ribosomal RNA". It matches the Rfam family "Bacterial small subunit ribosomal RNA", at positions 28 to 504 of the family's 1533-position model. The record is from RNAcentral.